GAAAUGCGAUAAGUAGUGUGAAUUGCAGAAUUCAGUGAAUCAUCGAAUCUUUGAACGCACAUUGCGCCCCUUGGUAUUCCAUGGGGCAUGCCUGUUCGAGCGUCAUUUGUACCCUCCAGCCCUGCUGGGUGUUGGGCGUUUGUUCCGCUGCGCGCGUGAACUCGCCUCAAAUGCAUUGGCAGCCCGCCGUCCCGUGUGGGAGCGCAGCACAUUUUGCGCUCUCCACUGCUGACGGUGGCAUCCAUAAAGUCUACCAUUUUACGCUUGACCUCGGAUCAGGUAGGGAUACCCGCUGAACUUAA
RNAcentral lists this unclassified non-coding RNA (302 nucleotides) under uncultured Pleosporales. RNAcentral describes it as "sequence contains ITS1". The stretch from base 1 to 105 matches the Rfam family "5.8S ribosomal RNA", at positions 50 to 154 of the family's 154-position model. Lineage: Eukaryota; Fungi; Ascomycota; Dothideomycetes; Pleosporales. The record is from RNAcentral.